CUACGGGUUGCAGCAGUGAGGAAUAUUGCACAAUGGGGGGAACCCUGAUGCAGCAACGCCGCGUGGAGGAUGACGCAUUUCGGUGUGUAAACUCCUUUUAUAUGUCAAGAAAAUGACGGUAGCAUAUGAAUAAGCACCGGCUAACUCCGUGCCAGCAGCCGCGGUAAUACGGAGGGUGCAAGCGUUACUCGGAAUCACUGGGCGUAAAGGAAGCGUAGGCGGGUUGGAAAGUCAGGUGUGAAAGCAUACAGCUUAACUGUAGAACUGCACUUGAAACUUCUAAUCUAGAGUAUGGGAGGGGGAGAUGGAAUUAGUGGUGUAGGGGUAAAAUCCGUAGAUAUCACUAGGAAUACCUAAAGCGAAGGCGAUCUCCUGGAACAUUACUGACGCUAAGGCGUGAAAGCGUGGGGAGCAAACAGGAUUAGAUACCCUAGUAGUC
Molecule: ribosomal RNA, 439 nt
Filed under: uncultured bacterium
Lineage: Bacteria
Description: partial 16S ribosomal RNA
Rfam family: Bacterial small subunit ribosomal RNA
Source: RNAcentral